AGAGUUUGAUCCUGGCUCAGGACGAACGCUGGCGGCGUGCUUAACACAUGCAAGUCGAACGGAAAGGCCCUGCUUUUGUGGGGUGCUCGAGUGGCGAACGGGUGAGUAACACGUGAGUAACCUGCCCUUGACUUUGGGAUAACUUCAGGAAACUGGGGCUAAUACCGGAUAGGAGCUCCUGCUGCAUGGUGGGGGUUGGAAAGUUUCGGCGGUUGGGGAUGGACUCGCGGCUUAUCAGCUUGUUGGUGGGGUAGUGGCUUACCAAGGCUUUGACGGGUAGCCGGCCUGAGAGGGUGACCGGUCACAUUGGGACUGAGAUACGGCCCAGACUCCUACGGGAGGCAGCAGUGGGGAAUAUUGCACAAUGGGCGGAAGCCUGAUGCAGCAACGCCGCGUGCGGGAUGACGGCCUUCGGGUUGUAAACCGCUUUCGCCUGUGACGAAGCGUGAGUGACGGUAAUGGGUAAAGAAGCACCGGCUAACUACGUGCCAGCAGCCGCGGUGAUACGUAGGGUGCGAGCGUUGUCCGGAUUUAUUGGGCGUAAAGGGCUCGUAGGUGGUUGAUCGCGUCGGAAGUGUAAUCUUGGGGCUUAACCCUGAGCGUGCUUUCGAUACGGGUUGACUUGAGGAAGGUAGGGGAGAAUGGAAUUCC
RNAcentral lists this ribosomal RNA (651 nucleotides) under uncultured Actinomycetes bacterium. Its description in RNAcentral is "bacterial SSU rRNA". It matches the Rfam family "Bacterial small subunit ribosomal RNA", at positions 8 to 670 of the family's 1533-position model. Lineage: Bacteria; Bacillati; Actinomycetota; Actinomycetes. The record is from RNAcentral.